Zingiber officinale is the source of this 1274-nucleotide long non-coding RNA. RefSeq lists it as uncharacterized. NCBI's taxonomy places the organism in Eukaryota, Viridiplantae, Streptophyta, Magnoliopsida, Zingiberales, Zingiberaceae. The record is from RefSeq and is a predicted model, not a curated record. The transcript is spliced from 4 exons.
ACCCCUCGCGCCUUCUCUUCUCCCGAUCUCCUGCCCUAACCGCUCAUCUCCUCCAAAUCGUCGCGACGCCUCGCCUUUGCCCGCGUACAAGACCUCUCGGAGUAUGGAAACCUCGAGCCGAUUUCUCCUCUUCUCUUCUCCUUCUUCCUCCCCGGAGCCUUCCCAAGCGCCGGUGAGCGUGAGCCACUGCCGGUCGAACCGUCGCCUGUGCCCUAGCACCCUCCGCCGAUCUCCCUUCUUUUCCGACGACGCCACACGAGCGCCGGCCACCUUGCUUGUCACGCGCGCCACCACCGUCCUGGCGCCACUUCCUCUUCCUCUGCCCUAGCCCUAGUUUCCACUGCCGCCAGUUGCCGGCCGAAGUUCAUCUCCUCCUCUCCACUCUAUCCGGCGCCAUGCCCUAGUUCUUCUAGGUUGGCUACUACCGCCAGUUGUCGGCCGAAGUUCAUCUCCUCCUCUCCACUCUAUCCGGCGCUAGUUCUGCUAGGUUGGCUAUGGUCGGCCUACCAAAUGGUGGCUUGCGUCAUCUUGGAUCAGAGAGGAAAAUCUGUUGGGAGACAAAGAUUUAGCUUCCUUAAUCCAUCGUCAACAAAUCUGUGGUAGCAGUGGCUUCAUCGUUGCUCCAACAACAACUUCCAGCGGCUGCAUUUCCUGGCCGUGUGUCAAUAGGGAGCAAUCAUAAUACGGGAACAUUUGAUGUGGAGGACAACAACAUUAAAAAUGCUCCGGCUAUUGGUUUCCGACACUUUCCGACAACAAGCACAUCCGGCAGUGACUCAACAGCUCGGGCAUUCAGAUUUCGGCUUCUUGACUCUACCAUCCACUUUGGAGGUCCUUGUUUCGACCGUGAGUAGAGAGUUGACAGCCCUACAGUGGUGGUUGGUGUUGAGUCUUUGUAGCUUGGCCAACAUUGUUCACUAGCGAUCCACAGCACCAGACAUUCUGUUUUGGGCAGGGAACCCCUUCGACCAUGAGCCAUCAGUGAUCCUCUUGGAUUUGGGUACCAGAUUAUUUAUGGAGUCAUUUGGAGUAUCCUACCUGCCGGUCCCCACGUCACAUCAGAAGUUCUGUCUCCGUUUUUAUUUAUUUGUAUUUUGAUAUAUGAAUUUGUGUAUUUAGCUUUGUAUUCCGGCUUUGUUCCUGGGGUGUUAUUUUGUUGUGUGGUGUAAGCCUAGCCGGCUAGCAGUCUUCGUUUAUAGUUGUGUGUGUUGUCUAUUGGAUUUCCGCUGUGUUUGGUUUUGUGGUAUCAGCCGAGUAGGCUGCAUAUAAACUGC